CCUACGGGAGGCAGCAGUGGGGAAUAUUGGGCAAUGGGCGCAAGCCUGACCCAGCAACGCCGCGUGAAGGAAGAAGGCUUUCGGGUUGUAAACUUCUUUUAAGAGGGAAGAGCAGAAGACGGUACCUCUUGAAUAAGCCACGGCUAACUACGUGCCAGCAGCCGCGGUAAUACGUAGGUGGCAAGCGUUGUCCGGAUUUAGUGGGUGUAAAGGGUGCGUAGGUGGUUUCUUAAGCCAGAGGUGAACGGCUACGGCUAAACCGUAGUAAGCCUUUGAAACUGGGGAACUUGAGUGCAGGAGAGGAGAGUGGAACUCCUUGUGUAGCGGUGAAAUGCGUAGAUAUUAGGAGGAACACCAGUGGCGAAGGCGGCUCUCUGGACUGUAACUGACACUGAGGCACGAAAGCGUGGGGAGCAAACAGGAUUAGAUACCCUUGUAGUC
Molecule: ribosomal RNA, 441 nt
Filed under: uncultured bacterium
Lineage: Bacteria
Description: partial 16S ribosomal RNA
Rfam family: Bacterial small subunit ribosomal RNA
Source: RNAcentral